UCGGGAAUUUUGUGCAAUGGGCGAAAGCCUGACACAGCAACGCCGCGUGAAGGAUGAAGUCCCUCGGGAUGUAAACUUCGUAAGAAUAGGAAGAAUAAAUGACGGUACUAUUUGUAAGGUCCGGCUAACUACGUGCCAGCAGCCGCGGUAAUACGUAGGGACCAAGCGUUGUUCGGAUUUACUGGGCGUAAAGGGUGCGUAGGCGGCAUAUCAAGUCACUUGUGAAAUCUCCGGGCUUAACUCGGAACUGCCAAGUGAUACUGAUGUGCUAGAGUGCAGAAAGGGCAACUGGAAUUCUUGGUGUAGCGGUGAAAUGCGUAGAUAUCAAGAGGAACACCUGAGGCGAAGGCGAGUUGCUAGGCUGACACUGACGCUGAGGUACGAAAGCUAGGGGAGCGAACGGGAUUAGAUACCCAUGUAGUCCCUGAGCGGGCUGGCAAGGCGCAU
This 447-nucleotide ribosomal RNA is filed under the name uncultured bacterium. Its description in RNAcentral is "bacterial SSU rRNA". It matches the Rfam family "Bacterial small subunit ribosomal RNA", at positions 355 to 825 of the family's 1533-position model. The record is from RNAcentral.